RNAcentral lists this ribosomal RNA (819 nucleotides) under uncultured fungus. Its description in RNAcentral is "eukaryotic LSU rRNA". The stretch from base 608 to 819 matches the Rfam family "Eukaryotic large subunit ribosomal RNA", at positions 1 to 208 of the family's 3401-position model. The record is from RNAcentral. Lineage: Eukaryota; Fungi.
UGAUACUUGGUGUGGUUGUUGCUGGCCUCUCGGGGAUAUGUGCACAGCCCAUCAUCCUCUCUCUCCACGUGUGCACCUCUUGGUAGCCUGGAUUGAUUUCCGAGGCAACUCGCCUUGGAAGAUUGCUGCGCUCUGUCAGCCACCUUUCUUUGCAUGACCAGGACUAUGUUUUUCAUAUACCCCUAUAGAAUGUAACUGAAUGUAUCAUUGGGCCUUGUGCCUAUAAACAUUAUACAACUUUCAGCAACGGAUCUCUUGGCUCUCGCAUCAAUGAAGAGCGCAAUGAAAUGCGAUAAGUAAUGUGAAUUGCAGAAUUCAUUGAAUCAUCGAAUCUUUAACCGUCCUUCGCUCCCUGGUAUUCCGAGGAGCAUGCCUGUGUGAGUGUCAUUAAAUUCUCAACCUUAUUAGCCGUUGUGGACAAUGGAUUGGAUGUGGGGGUUUCUUUUGCUGGCUUCCUCACAGAAAUCAGCUCCCCUUAAAUGCUUUGUGGCGUCACGAGCGUGAUCAAUAUAUGGUGUGAUAAUUUUCUACCACGUGGAUGUCUGCAAAAAUAUGGGGUUUGAACUCCUACUAACCGUCUGUUCAAUUCGGACAAUACAUGACAAUUUGACCUCAAAUCAGGUAGGACUACCCGCUGAACUUAAGCAUAUCAAUAAGCGGAGGAAAAGAAACUAACUAAGGAUUCCCCUAGUAACUGCGAGUGAAGCGGGAAGAGCUCAAAUUUAAAAUCUGGCGGUCUCCUGCUGUCCGAGUUGUAAUCUAGAAGAAGUGUUAUCCUGCGGUGGACCGUGUCAAGUCUCCUGGAAUGGAGCGCUUAAG